AAUAGAUACCCGGGUAGUCCACGCCGUAAACGACUGAGUGCUAAGUCGUUAAGGAGGGUUUCCGCCCUUUAGGUGCUGCAGCUAACGCAUUAAGCACUCCGCCUGGGGAGUACGGCCGCAAGGCUGAAACUCAAAGGAAUUGACGGGGGCCCGCACAAGCGGUGGAGCAUGUGGUUUAAUUCGAAGCAACGCGAAGAACCUUACCAGGUCUUGACAUCCUCUGCCAACCCUAGAGAUAGGGCGUUCCCCUUCGGGGGACAGAGUGACAGGUGGUGCAUGGUUGUCGUCAGCUCGUGUCGUGAGAUGUUGGGUUAAGUCCCGCAACGAGCGCAACCCUUGAUCUUAGUUGCCAGCAUUCAGUUGGGCACUCUAAGGUGACUGCCGGUGACAAACCGGAGGAAGGUGGGGAUGACGUCAAAUCAUCAUGCCCCUUAUGACCUGGGCUACACACGUGCUACAAUGGAUGGUACAAAGAGCUGCGAACCCGCGAGGGUAAGCCAAUCUCAUAAAGCCAUUCUCAGUUCGGAUUGUAGG
This 534-nucleotide ribosomal RNA is filed under the name uncultured bacterium. RNAcentral's name for it is "bacterial SSU rRNA". It matches the Rfam family "Bacterial small subunit ribosomal RNA", at positions 777 to 1304 of the family's 1533-position model. The record is from RNAcentral.